UCGGUCUGGGAUACAGUGAGGUAACAUUGGCUCUUUGGUGUUUGAGGGGCGUCGUUCAAGACAUAUGGCGCAUUUACCAACAAUGUCCUCUAUUUGUUUGCACAUUCCGGGCCAAACAAAAUGUCCCGUGCUCUCUGUUUGCACUUUUGCAUGCCCAUGUGUCUAGCAUGGUUCUUUGUCAAAAUCUCUUCUCUGAGACUGGUAGGAAUAAUGAUUUUCUCUCCUUUGAAAAUUAUUCCGUUGAUCUGUGAUAGUUCAUCAUGAUGGUUCCAGAACUCUGAGACGCUCUGAGGGCAUUUUCUCCUCUCCUCAGGCCAUCCAUCCUGUAUGACUUUCCUCAGAUGUGCGAGUUGUGAGUCCUUUUCUGUUUCUGCUUGGAUCUCCUUCAGUUUUGUGUCACUAACUGGUAAGUUGCUGUACACAGUGUGCACUUGCAUGUCCAUGCCUUCACUGAGGCUGCUGUCCUUAUAGGUAAGAAACUUCCUGGAGAGUGUGUCUGCGACAGGGAUGUCUUUGCCUGGACGGUGAGUGAUUGUGAAGUCGUAUUUUUGUAGUUGAAGGAGCCUUGGCUACACUAGCUGCGGCUAGUGGUUUCCUCAUGAUUGACUCAAGGGGCUUGUGGUCGGAUUCCACAAUGACUUGUCGUCCAUAUAUGUACUGAUGGAAACGUUUACAUCCGAACAGAAUGGCGUAGAGCUCCUUUUCAAUUUGAGCGUAGUUGAUUUCACAGAUUUGGAAGCGUAGCCGAUGGGCUUUCCUUCUUGCAGUAGCACUGCACCUAGUCCAUACUUCGACGCGUCCACUUGUCGGGGUCGUAGUAGGCAAGGAUUGGUCCUGGUUCUCUCGUGAUCAAGUCUUUCACAUUCUGGAAAGCAAUGUUGUGUUGCUUGUCCCAGAGAAACUCACUGGACUGCUUWAGCAGUUGACGCAGGGGUGCAUUAGCAUUGGAGAGGCUGGGUGCGAACUUGGCUAAGUAGUUGACCAUGCCAGGCACUGUUUCCAGCUCUGCACGGUUCUUUGGUGGCUCCAUUUACUUUAUGGCUAAGAUCUUCUGUGGAUCUGGCUUGAUUCCAGUCGCUGUAAGAAGAUGUCCGAAGUAGCUGACCUCUGUAGCGCCGACUGUGCUCUUCUCKGGGUUGAGCCGGACUCCUCUCUCGCGGGACCUUUGCAGCAUCGCGCGGAGGUUUCGGUCGUGCUCCUCUUUGGUUCGACCAUCGACAAGGAUGUCGUCCACAAUUGCCACAACUCCGUCGAGGCCUUCGUACACUUCGUCGAUCUUUCGCUGAAACUCGUCUUGGGCUGAGAUAAUCCCAAAAGGCAGGCGACGGAACCUGUAGCGUCCAAACGGUGUGUUGAAUGUUGUGAGCUUAGAUGGCUCUUCUGUGAGCUUGAUAGCCCAGUAGCCUGAUCUAGCGUCCAUGACACUGAAGUAGUGUGCUCCAGCUUGUGUGUGAUGCCAUCUAGCGUCGGUAUUACAAUUACUAAAGCUACUGUCCUUUUUGUAAUUGAAUGUCCUCUAUAGGGAAGCCAGAGAUCAGAUAAUCCAGUUGCCUGGUCAGGUGUUCAGCUCUGCCCUGCAGGACUGGGAGCUGUCCCAAGGGUGCACUGGGGAGCCUGAUUCCACCCCACCUCCAUACUGCAGGGGCUUCUUUGAUGCCAUCACCAUGGACCAAGAUGGUACCAACCUAGUAUUCUGUGGGAGGCUGUUCUGGACUGUGUCUCCUGCAGGCCAGGCCAGCUCCCCUCUACCUCUGCAGAACUGCUGGCCAGGACUACCCCUCACCAUUUAGGCAGCUGCUUACUCAAAGAUGGACAAUAAGUUAUACUUUUUCAAAGGCAGGCGAGUGUGGCGUUACUCCGGCAGCGAUGUGGACCCAGGCUUCCCCCUGAGGAGCAGCGAGCUAGGCCUCCCUGGACACCCUGACCAGGCCUUCACCUACCCCCACCUGGGCCACCUGGUGGUGUUUAAAGGCCAGCGUUACUUUGUGCUUAACUUUGGGACCCUGAGGCCCGACUCAUACUACCCCGCAGCCUGGAAGACAGAGGGCCAAUGGAGCCCUCAACCACCCUGAUGGACAGGUAUACUUCUUCAAGGAGCAGCAGUACUGGAGCUUUGAUCCAGAGAAGGUGCAGGUGACUGGAGGGGGGAGGUGGGACACAGAGCUGGAAUGGACAGGCUGUCUUGGAACUCACCACAGAGGCAAUGAUAUACUGUGACCACAAGUGGGCGAUAACUAACUGAUUCAAGUUUUUGGUCAGGGUAAUGUGCAAUGGAUAUACUCAGACUAAGCAAUGACAGAAGUCAAGGGAUUUGUUUAUGUUCCCAUAUUUUUUAUGUUUAUACAGUAUUAUUAAAUUAAUAUUAAUAUUCCUACAUCCUACAGUGAUCCAAUGUUUUUGUUUAUAAUGUGCUUGUUUUGUUCUAGACCGUAUUAAGAUAUUCUGUAUGAGUCAUGGCCCAUCUGUGGGCUGUACAUUUUAUUAGGAUCUCUUUUAGUCCUCAUUUGGACUAAUCUUCCAAGAGUCCUUAAACAUUAAAAUACAAUUUAUAA
Salvelinus sp. IW2-2015 is the source of this 2552-nucleotide non-coding RNA. NCBI's taxonomy places the organism in Eukaryota, Metazoa, Chordata, Actinopteri, Salmoniformes, Salmonidae. The record is from RefSeq and is a predicted model, not a curated record.